CGGAGCCGCCAGAGCCAGAACUGGAAGAUGAGGAAGCUGAACUUGAGGCAGAACUGGAACUAGAACCAGAACCAGAACCAGAACCAGACCCUGCUCCGGCACCAGCUCCAGAGCCACUGCCACCUCCUAUCCCCAGGCCCAAACCCAGUCCAAGUCCAACCCCCAACCCACCAAGGUCCAGGCCCAAGUCCUUCCUUGCCACUCUACUCUCUGAUACAAUAGUUGACAUAAAAAGAAGCAAUGCAAGUAGAUAACAUGACCAAGAUGUUGCCAUUUUGUGUGCAAUGUAGGUUUGAAAAGUAGGUAAAGAAGCUCAAGUAGUAUUAUAGCUGAACAAACUAUGCAGGGUG
Molecule: long non-coding RNA, 350 nt
Filed under: Glycine max (soybean)
Lineage: Eukaryota; Viridiplantae; Streptophyta; Magnoliopsida; Fabales; Fabaceae
Description: long non-coding RNA (GMAX_LNC002869)
Source: RNAcentral